UUGCAUCUGCGGUAUAACCUGCAAGCAUCCC
Molecule: non-coding RNA, 31 nt
Filed under: Rattus norvegicus (Norway rat)
Lineage: Eukaryota; Metazoa; Chordata; Mammalia; Rodentia; Muridae
Source: RNAcentral